This is a non-coding RNA of Pangasianodon gigas (Mekong giant catfish), 74 nucleotides long. The record is from the annotation of a GenBank genome assembly. Lineage: Eukaryota; Metazoa; Chordata; Actinopteri; Siluriformes; Pangasiidae.
UGAUAGGUGGCUCCGUGGUUAAGGCUCUGGGUUCCUGAACAGAAGAUUGGGGGUUCAAGCCCCAGCCCUGCCAA